UGGAUGAUGUGGUUAAUUCGAUGCAACGCGAAAACCUUACCCACCUUUGACAUGUACGGAACUCGCCAGAGAUGGCUUGGUGCUCGAAAGAGAACCGUAACACAGGUGCUGCAUGGCUGUCGUCAGCUCGUGUCGUGAGAUGUUGGGUUAAGUCCCGCAACGAACGCAACCCUUGUCAUUAGUUGCUACAUUUAGUUGGGCACUCUAAUGAGACUGCCGGUGACAAGCCGGAGGAAGGUGGGGAUGACGUCAAGUCCUCAUGGCCCUUAUAGGUGGGGCUACACACGUCAUACAAUGGCUGGUACAGAGGGUUGCCAACCCGCGAGGGGGAGCUAAUCCCAUAAAACCAGUCGUAGUCCGGAUCGCAGUCUGCAACUCGACUGCGUGAAGUCGGAAUCGCUAGUAAUCGCGGAUCAGAAUGUCGCGGUGAAUACGUUCCCGGGUCUU
This 447-nucleotide ribosomal RNA is filed under the name uncultured Variovorax sp. RNAcentral's name for it is "bacterial SSU rRNA". It matches the Rfam family "Bacterial small subunit ribosomal RNA", at positions 933 to 1382 of the family's 1533-position model. Lineage: Bacteria; Pseudomonadati; Pseudomonadota; Betaproteobacteria; Burkholderiales; Comamonadaceae. The record is from RNAcentral.